GACGAACGCUGGCGGCGUGCUUAACACAUGCAAGUCGAACGGUGAAGCGCCUUCCUCUUUGGCGGGCGUGGAGGAGUGGCGAACCGGUGAGUAACACGAUAGUAAUCUACCUUCUCCUUCUGGAUAACCGCAUGAAAGUGACGCUAAUACGGGAUAUUCUGGAUCUGUCGCAUCAUGGGUUUGUGGAAGAUAUCGCGUCGGUGGGGGAUGGGCUCGCGUCCUAUCAGCUUGUUGGUGGGGGGGCGGCCUACCAAGGCGGUGACGAGGAGCCGGCCGGGGAGGGUGGGCGGUCACGCGGGGACUAAAACGUGGCCCAGACUCCUAGAGGCGGCAGCAGUGAAUAAUAUUGCACGGUGGGCGAAAGGCUGAUGCAGCGCCGCGGCGUGGGGGAAGGAGGUCUGCUUGUUAUGAACCUCUUUCGCGAGAGAAGCAGAGCUGCCUAGUUUGUCGGUGGGUUGACGGUAGCUAGAUAAGAAGCGCCGGCUAACUACGUG
Molecule: ribosomal RNA, 494 nt
Filed under: uncultured bacterium
Lineage: Bacteria
Description: partial 16S ribosomal RNA
Rfam family: Bacterial small subunit ribosomal RNA
Source: RNAcentral